RNAcentral lists this ribosomal RNA (375 nucleotides) under uncultured Sphingomonadales bacterium. RNAcentral describes it as "bacterial SSU rRNA". It matches the Rfam family "Bacterial small subunit ribosomal RNA", at positions 1 to 407 of the family's 1533-position model. The record is from RNAcentral. Lineage: Bacteria; Pseudomonadati; Pseudomonadota; Alphaproteobacteria; Sphingomonadales.
UAGUGAGUUUGAUCCUGGCUCAGAACGAACGCUGGCGGCAUGCCUAACACAUGCAAGUCGAACGAGACCGUUCGGUCUAGUGGCGCACGGGUGCGUAACGCGUGGGAAUCUGCCCUUGGGUUCGGAACAACGAGUUGGAAACGACUGCUAAUACCGGAUGAUGACUUCGGUCCAAAGAUUUAUCGCCGAUGGGAUGGGCCCGCGUAGGAUUAGCUUGUUGGUGGGGUAACGCCUACCAAGGCAACGAUCCUUAGCUGGUCUGAGAGGAUGAUCAGCCACACUGGGACUGAGACACGGCCCAGACUCCUACGGGAGGCAGCAGUGGGGAAUCUUAGACAAUGGGCGCAAGCCUGAUCUAGCCAUGCCGCGUGGUGA